Molecule: small nucleolar RNA, 108 nt
Organism: Arachis stenosperma
Lineage: Eukaryota; Viridiplantae; Streptophyta; Magnoliopsida; Fabales; Fabaceae
Source: RefSeq, a predicted model, not a curated record
AAGUCAUGAUGUGGACAUACUUUGAGUAUAUUUUUUAUAUCUCUUCCAUGCUUCAAGGACAGAUUCAUUUUCCUUUUGAGAAAAGGAAGCGAUGUCCUUCCUUGAUCG